This 478-nucleotide ribosomal RNA is filed under the name Actinomyces sp. 'ARUP UnID 91'. RNAcentral describes it as "bacterial SSU rRNA". It matches the Rfam family "Bacterial small subunit ribosomal RNA", at positions 27 to 499 of the family's 1533-position model. The record is from RNAcentral. Lineage: Bacteria; Bacillati; Actinomycetota; Actinomycetes; Actinomycetales; Actinomycetaceae.
GGACGAACGCUGGCGGCGUGCUUAACACAUGCAAGUCGAACGCUGAAGACCUGGCUUUUGUUGGGUUGGAUGAGUGGCGAACGGGUGAGUAACACGUGAGUAACCUGCCCUCUUCUUUGGGAUAACGCCCGGAAACGGGUGCUAAUACUGGAUAUUCACUGGCCUUCGCAUGGGGGUUGGUGGAAAGGUUUUUUCUGGUGGGGGAUGGGCUCGCGGCCUAUCAGCUUGUUGGUGGGGUGAUGGCCUACCAAGGCUUUGACGGGUAGCCGGCCUGAGAGGGUGACCGGUCACAUUGGGACUGAGAUACGGCCCAGACUCCUACGGGAGGCAGCAGUGGGGAAUAUUGCACAAUGGGCGAAAGCCUGAUGCAGCGACGCCGCGUGAGGGAUGGAGGCCUUCGGGUUGUAAACCUCUUUCGCUCAUGGUCAAGCCGCAACAUUGGUUGUGGUGAGGGUAGUGGGUAAAGAAGCGCCGGCUA